GAAGCAGACCAGAUGGCCGCCGCCCGCCGUAGCCUUGUGCGAAGGCGGGGGGAGGAAAGUCCGGGCUCCGCAGGGCAUGGUGCUGGAUAACGUCCAGCGGGGGCAACCCCAGGGAUAGUGCCACAGAGAGAAGUCCGCCCGCCAAAACCUCGGCUUCGGCUCUGGCAACGGCAGGUAAGGGUGAAAGGGUGAGGUAAGAGCUCACCGGGUCCGGCGGUGACGUCGGAUGCCAGGUAAACCCCACCAGGAGCAAGACCAAAUAGGGGAGCGUUAAGGGCGGCCCGUCCGUGCUCCCGGGUUGGUUGCUUGAGGCCGUCGGCAACGGCGGUCCUAGAUGAAUGACCAUCGCCCGUCCCCGGGUAACCGGGGCCGGGAACAGAACCCGGCUUACGGGCUGCUUCGACC
This 405-nucleotide RNase P RNA is filed under the name Geomesophilobacter sediminis. RNAcentral describes it as "Bacterial RNase P class A". It matches the Rfam family "Bacterial RNase P class A". From Rfam's summary of the family: Ribonuclease P (RNase P) is a ubiquitous endoribonuclease, found in archaea, bacteria and eukarya as well as chloroplasts and mitochondria. Its best characterised activity is the generation of mature 5'-ends of tRNAs by cleaving the 5'-leader elements of precursor-tRNAs. Lineage: Bacteria; Pseudomonadati; Thermodesulfobacteriota; Desulfuromonadia; Geobacterales; Geobacteraceae. The record is from Rfam by way of RNAcentral.